Molecule: ribosomal RNA, 449 nt
Filed under: uncultured bacterium
Lineage: Bacteria
Description: bacterial SSU rRNA
Rfam family: Bacterial small subunit ribosomal RNA
Source: RNAcentral
UAGGGAAUCUUCCACAAUGGACGAAAGCCUGAUGGAGCAACGCCGCGUGAGUGAAGAAGGAUUUCGGUUCGUAAAACUCUGUUGUAAGGGAAGAACAAGUAGCGUAGUAACUGGCGCUACCUUGACGGUACCUUAUUAGAAAGCCACGGCUAACUACGUGCCAGCAGCCGCGGUAAUACGUAGGUGGCAAGCGUUGUCCGGAAUUAUUGGGCGUAAAGCGCGCGCAGGUGGUUUCUUAAGUCUGAUGUGAAAGCCCACGGCUCAACCGUGGAGGGUCAUUGGAAACUGGGGAACUUGAGUGCAGAAGAGGAUAGUGGAAUUCCAAGUGUAGCGGUGAAAUGCGUAGAGAUUUGGAGGAACACCAGUGGCGAAGGCGACUAUCUGGUCUGUAACUGACACUGAGGCGCGAAAGCGUGGGGAGCAAACAGGAUUAGAUACCCCCGUAGUCC